This is a long non-coding RNA of Schistocerca serialis cubense, 317 nucleotides long. RefSeq lists it as uncharacterized. The transcript has 2 exons. Lineage: Eukaryota; Metazoa; Arthropoda; Insecta; Orthoptera; Acrididae. The record is from RefSeq and is a predicted model, not a curated record.
ACGCACGCUGCUGGUACUGCUGCUCGUGUUGGUGGCUACGGCCACACUCGUCGCCCCCGCGGCAGCCUGGAGGUGGCCCUGGGAGAAGCCAAAAAUUACCGCAGAGAUGAUCAAGAUGCAGCAGAGGUGUGGGUCCGGAACGGUGCUAGUCGGCAGCAGGUGUAGGAGGGUCUACAUGGCAUGAGGUGGCUGGGGACAUUCUUAAUGUGGACGACAACAUUUCAAAAGAAUGGAAAAAGUGGAAGCUUUUAUAUGUAAAUAAAUUUUGUACAGUUAUUUAUAAUGUAAGUAAUACAUGUAACACUUUUUUAAAAGAA